GGGGUGGGGGUGGGGCAAACAGAAGGUGAGACUUGGCAGAGCGGGGUCCGAGAUGGGCCGGGUCACAGAAGGACCCAGUUAAGAGGGACCCAAGUUCGACGUCAAUGAGAACACUCCCAUUAAGGGUCAAGAGAGACGUCAAGUUUUGUCUGGCUGGAGGCUGCCUGGUCCUGCGUAGAGGAAGGAGUGGAUGAAAUGACCUUAAAGAGGAAAUGAUGCCCUCGGAGAGGCGACAGAGCUCUUGAACAGGGAGACCGAGCCCACAGGCUACCAAGGGAGAGACUCCUGCUCCAUCCACCCCUGCUUCCUGCUCGCUCAGGGCCUGGCACUGAGUGGGAGACCCAAGGGUAGAGAUCAGAGGGAGCUCUGUCCCCGUGGAGGAGCGGAUAGUAAACCCAGGACCCUGAACGUACCUGAUUUCCACCAACAGAACUGGGGGCUGGGAGUUCCCAAACUUCACCCGGCAGGAGGAGCUAUGCUUGCCGACCUGCCAGACACUGGAAUUUCUACCCUGGGGAGACCUCCCCUCUGGACAGUUUUCCCUCCAGGAAGCUGGCCCUUCAAAAGAGAACACGCAUACAUUUGUACCAAAAGUAAAAGCGAUACAAAUGUUGCCUUUGAGUCUCUUUCCCCCGAGUCUCACAAGACUUCUCAGGUCCACUCAGCAAGCUCUUGGGGGGACAGCCCCUACCUACACAGCAAGCACAGUACUGUCUGGAACCCUCCAGAUGCCUCUUUUAUGGAAGGUCAGCUCCAGCCCUGCUUUCUCUGGUCAAACAAGCACCAGCCUGGUGGGUAAAGCGCAGCGGGUGGCAUCUGACAGCACUCGUGGGCCCCUCCCCCUCCCCUUGCUUUGCCGUUCUGGUCCAGGCGCUCUGGGUAGAACCAGGGUGUUAGUGUUUCUCAAGGCACUCCAAGGCUGAGCAGAGCAGUGGGCACCUGCCACUCCAGCUUCUUGGGAGGCCCGCACAGGAGCCGGGAAGUUUACAGUCAGCUUGGGCGAGAUUGGAUGAAGCUCUCGGGAGGCUAGGAUGCCUUUGGAGACACCGGCAUCUCCAUCCAGUUGGAUGCUUGGUGGUCACAACCUAUCUGCGGGACCUGCAGGAGGUCUGGAUGCAGCCAGCGGGGCUCAUCUGUAGAUCAACAAUUAACGCGCGCUGGGAGAAAGAAAUCAGACUCGGGCUGGUGCCGGAGGUUUGCGCCCCAGCAGCUGCGGGAGAGACUGCAGGGCUGACAUGCAAGUUCUGGACUUGGUUAAAGUGGGAUGGAAUAAAGAGGCGACACCCCAGGAGAGUCAGCUGGGCAUCGCCCUCACCACCCUCGCCCACCCUAGGGCUGAGAGGCUGACGGCUGAAUUGCAGAGGCAGGCUCCCUCCUGGAGGCGGAGCCGCCGCGAGCAGGGUGUGGGUGGACAUGGGGACUCUGCCUUGUGUUUCACUGGGAGCUGGGAGGGAAGCAGGUGGCGGAGCCUAAGUGAGUAACCACCGCCCUGCAGCAGCCGAUCUCAACCUCUCAGGCAGCCCAGAGAUGCGACAGGGCCUCUCCGCCUCUGCUGCGCCUCUUGCCCUCGCACACCCGGGUCCUUCUUGCACACCCGGGUCCUUGCACACUCGUCUUUCUUGCACAUCCAGGCCCUUCUUGCACACUCGGGCCCUCCUUGGCCACGUCCACCCCACUCCACGGCUCGGGCUUGGCCUCCUGCCGCACAUGCAUCGCGUUCCCCUGAGGGGAUAAGCUCCCUCCCACUUCCAGGCCCCAGCCUGGAGGCACCCAUCUCUCCCUGGCCAUGAGGGCCAGGCCAAGCGAGAGCUGUGGGCCUCGCUGCCUAGCAGAGCGGCAGGGCUGUGUCGCCCUCUGCUGGCACACUCGGGCACUGCUCCC
This is a long non-coding RNA of Peromyscus maniculatus bairdii (prairie deer mouse), 1881 nucleotides long. RefSeq lists it as uncharacterized. The record is from RefSeq and is a predicted model, not a curated record. NCBI's taxonomy places the organism in Eukaryota, Metazoa, Chordata, Mammalia, Rodentia, Cricetidae.